UACGAAGGGGGCUAGCGUUGCUCGGAAUCACUGGGCGUAAAGCGCACGUAGGCGGCUCUUUAAGUCAGGGGUGAAAUCCCGGAGCUCAACUCCGGAACUGCCUUUGAUACUGGAGAGCUUGAGUCCGGGAGAGGUGAGUGGAACUGCGAGUGUAGAGGUGAAAUUCGUAGAUAUUCGCAAGAACACCAGUGGCGAAGGCGGCUCACUGGCCCGGUGCUGACGCUGAGGUGCGAAAGCGUGGGGAGCAAGCAGG
RNAcentral lists this ribosomal RNA (253 nucleotides) under uncultured bacterium. RNAcentral describes it as "partial 16S ribosomal RNA". It matches the Rfam family "Bacterial small subunit ribosomal RNA", at positions 524 to 776 of the family's 1533-position model. The record is from RNAcentral.